GGUGAUGCGAGGCGAGAACAAGCCCGGCUCGAACAGUCUUACAUGAUCAACAACACGCAGUGUGAAGCUAGCGCCGCUGAAGAGCUGGAGGCCGAAUACAAACCGCUUCCCUACUGGAUCUGUGGUACACUUAUAGGGUACACAAGCCAUUACUUCAUGCCCUAUGUAGUGCUCGUAUGUAGGAAAUAGGAAGUCAUUUGGGAUUCCAGCUACAUUUGAGCUUCUCUGGAUGUACCGGGUAAUAAUAUUCCCGUGUUUUAACGAAUUGUCCUAAUUUACAAAUUAUAGCGCAAGCAUUUUGUGCUCUUUUGUCAAAAAUACAUCCAGCAUAAAGCUAGGUAGCAUACUCUUAUAGAGUUAAUUGUCGGGAGAACGUCUCCAGCGGGAAACUGUGGCACUGUUCCAAAACUGAGCAGGCACCCUCAAGUCAUGAUGCUGUCGUGGAAAUUAGACAACACUCGCAGACUCGUCCUCUGAAGAGACACAGAAAAACAUGUUGCCGACAAGAGCCUCCAGUAGGAGGAAGAGAUUUACCCACGAGAGCAGUUUCCAAAGACAACAGCGCAUCCACACGGGAGAAAAACCGUAUCAGUGCUCACAGUGUGGAAAGAGUUUUGCUAACUUGAGUCAUUUCCAACGACACCAGCACAUUCACAUAGAAGAAAAGCCUUAUCAUUGCUCACAGUGUGGAACGAAUUUCAGGCAGAAAGCUCAUCUCCAGCAGCACCAGCGCAUUCAUACUGGAGAAAAACCAUAUCAAUGCUCACAGUGUGGAAUAAGUUUCACACGGAAAUAUACUCUCCAGCAACACCAGCAAAUUCAUACAGGAGAGAAAUCAUUUGUCUGUGUGCAGUGUGGGGCGAAAUUUACUCACAGGUCUGCUCUCAAAACACACCAACACAUCCAUACAGGAGAGAAGCUGUAUCACUGCUCCCAAUGCGGAAAGAGUUUUACUAACUUGGGAAAUUUCCAACGACACCAACGUAUUCACACAGAAGAGAAGCCGUAUUACUGCUCACACUGUGGAAAGAUUUUUAAUUGAGAGAGUACUCUCCAAUGACACCAACGUAUUCACACAGGAGAAAAGCCGUAUCAGUGCUCACACUGUGGAAAGAAUUUUAAUCGAGAGAGUAAUCUCCGACAACACCAGCACGUUCACACUGGAGAAAAGCCGUAUCAGUGCUCACACUGUGGAAAGAGUUUUGCUGACUCGAGUAAUUUCCGACGACACCAGCGCAUUCACACUGGAGAAAAGCCGUAUCAGUGCUAAACCAGACCUAAACCCAAUUGAGCAGCAUUUCACCUCCUGAAGAGGAGACUUUAGGGAGAAACCCCCUGAAACAAACAACAACUGAAAGAAGCUGUGGUUAAAAACCUGGAAAAGCUUCACAAAACCAACAGUUUGGUGUCGGUGAGUCACAGGUUUGAUGCAGUUACAGAAAAUUGCUCGCCUAAAAAUUGGGUGGUCUGAUACAAAAGGUUCUAUGUUUUAUGUUGUUUAACACAUCUAGAUGUAAAUACCAGGAAAUAAAAGCUGAAAU
This is a long non-coding RNA of Ictalurus furcatus (blue catfish), 1541 nucleotides long. RefSeq lists it as uncharacterized. NCBI's taxonomy places the organism in Eukaryota, Metazoa, Chordata, Actinopteri, Siluriformes, Ictaluridae. The record is from RefSeq and is a predicted model, not a curated record. The transcript has 3 exons.